GACGAACGCUGGCGGCGUGCCUAAUACAUGCAAGUAGAACGCACAGUUUAUACCGUAGCUUGCUACACCAUAGACUGUGAGUUGCGAACGGGUGAGUAACGCGUAGGUAACCUGCCUGGUAGCGGGGGAUAACUAUUGGAAACGAUAGCUAAUACCGCAUAAUAUUAAUUAUUGCAUGAUAAUUAAUUGAAAGGUGCAAUUGCACCACUACCAGAUGGACCUGCGUUGUAUUAGCUAGUAGGUGAGGUAACGGCUCACCUAGGCGACGAUACAUAGCCGACCUGAGAGGGUGAUCGGCCACACUGGGACUGAGACACGGCCCAGACUCCACGGGAGGCAGCAGUAGGGAAUCUUCGGCAAUGGACGAAAGUCUGACCGAGCAACGCCGCGUGAGUGAAGAAGGUUUUCGGAUCGUAAAGCUCUGUUGUAAGAGAAGAACGGGUGUGAGAGUGGAAAGUUCACACUGUGACGGCAUCUUACCAGAAAGGGACGGCUAACUACGUG
This 504-nucleotide ribosomal RNA is filed under the name uncultured bacterium. RNAcentral's name for it is "partial 16S ribosomal RNA". It matches the Rfam family "Bacterial small subunit ribosomal RNA", at positions 28 to 507 of the family's 1533-position model. The record is from RNAcentral.